GCAGUAGCCGCGGUAAAACGAAGGGGGCUAGCGUUGCUCGGAAUUACUGGGCGUAAAGGGAGCGUAGGCGGACAUUUAAGUCAGGGGUGAAAUCCCAGAGCUCAACUCUGGAACUGCCUUUGAUACUGGGUGUCUUGAGUGUGAUAGAGGUAUGUGGAACUCCGAGUGUAGAGGUGAAAUUCGUAGAUAUUCGGAAGAACACCAGUGGCGAAGGCGACAUACUGGAUCAUUACUGACGCUGAGGCUCGAAAGCGUGGGGAGCAAACAGGAUUAGAUACCCCAGUAGUCCCUGUCUCUUAUAC
Molecule: ribosomal RNA, 302 nt
Filed under: uncultured bacterium
Lineage: Bacteria
Description: partial 16S ribosomal RNA
Rfam family: Bacterial small subunit ribosomal RNA
Source: RNAcentral